UGGGGAAUUUUGGACAAUGGGCGAAAGCCUGAUCCAGCAAUGCCGCGUGUGUGAAGAAGGCCUUCGGGUUGUAAAGCACUUUUGUCCGGAAAGAAAUCCUUGGCUCUAAUACAGUCGGGGGAUGACGGUACCGGAAGAAUAAGCACCGGCUAACUACGUGCCAGCAGCCGCGGUAAUACGUAGGGUGCAAGCGUUAAUCGGAAUUACUGGGCGUAAAGCGUGCGCAGGCGGUUUGCUAAGACCGAUGUGAAAUCCCCGGGCUCAACCUGGGAACUGCAUUGGUGACUGGCAGGCUAGAGUAUGGCAGAGGGGGGUAGAAUUCCACGUGUAGCAGUGAAAUGCGUAGAGAUGUGGAGGAAUACCGAUGGCGAAGGCAGCCCCCUGGGCCAAUACUGACGCUCAUGCACGAAAGCGUGGGGGAGCAAACAGGAUUAGAUACCCUGGUAGUCCACGCCCUAAAACGAUGUCAACUAGUUGUUGGGGAUUCAUUUCCUUAGUAACGUAGCUAACGCGUGAAGUUGACCGCCUGGGGAGUACGGUCGCAAGAUUAAAACUCAAAUGAAUUGACGGGGUCAUAGCUG
Molecule: ribosomal RNA, 581 nt
Filed under: uncultured bacterium
Lineage: Bacteria
Description: partial 16S ribosomal RNA
Rfam family: Bacterial small subunit ribosomal RNA
Source: RNAcentral